AAGUCGUAACAAGGUUUCCGUAGGUGAACCUGCGGAAGGAUCAUCAAAAAAGGUUUCUUUUUAUAUUUGACCACACUGAAUGUGUUUAUAUGCAUAUAUGCGUUUAUAUGGAUGAUUUUUUUUGUGUGUGUGUAUGAGGUGAUUUUUAUAUAUAUUACUUUAUAUAUAUGUAAAAAAAAAUCAUCAUAUACGUAUAUUAUAUAUAUAAUUAGAUAUAUUUCCCUCAUUUUUUGAGGGAAAAAACACUAUAAAACCUUUAUAUAUUCUUAGUCUGAUGUUAUAAAAAAGAAGAGAGAAUCACAACUUUUAGCAAUGGAUCUCUCGGCUCUU
Molecule: unclassified non-coding RNA, 330 nt
Filed under: fungal sp.
Lineage: Eukaryota; Fungi
Description: partial internal transcribed spacer region
Rfam family: Eukaryotic small subunit ribosomal RNA (bases 1-46)
Source: RNAcentral